CCGGCAAGCAACGAAGACCAGAUGAAAUGCUGCUUGAAGGGCUGGCAUAUCUAGAAUUGGUGGUAGAAAUAUCUUUGCUUAAAAGUUUGCUCAAGAAACACCAUGCAUAUUUGACAUCAUAAGGAAAGAAAUGAGCAGAACCAUACAUCCAACUUACAUUGCAAUUACGGCAGAGGAAGAGAGAUGGAGAAGUUAAAAUGAAACAUUUCAAGGAUGAAUGGGCACUGAAAAUUGGUAAAGUGGCAGAAAAGUCCAAGCUUGAAGAAUGAAAAAGUAAAUGUAUGGAGAAAAAGGAGUUUGGAAAACAGGAAAAAAAAAAGAUAUUUUGCAGAAACAUCUGUUUGCUGUUGCUAAAAAUUUUAGCAUUUAAAUGUUCUCAUUUGGGCUCUGAAGUUAGCACUUCCUUGAAGUAGUUCACACCUUUGCUAUUGCUCCUGUUCAGCUACAGAUCAUUUUAUGCAAGGCUGAUUUUAACAAGAAAAUGGUGCAUUAAUUUA
RNAcentral lists this long non-coding RNA (497 nucleotides) under Pan troglodytes (chimpanzee). Its description in RNAcentral is "lincRNA". The record is from RNAcentral. Lineage: Eukaryota; Metazoa; Chordata; Mammalia; Primates; Hominidae.